This 869-nucleotide ribosomal RNA is filed under the name uncultured bacterium. RNAcentral describes it as "bacterial SSU rRNA". It matches the Rfam family "Bacterial small subunit ribosomal RNA", at positions 8 to 898 of the family's 1533-position model. The record is from RNAcentral.
AGAGUUUGAUCCUGGCUCAGGACGAACGCUGGCGGCGUGCCUAACACAUGCAAGUCGAGCGAUGAAACCCUUCGGGGUGGAUUAGCGGCGGACGGGUGAGUAACACGUGGGUAACCUGCCUCAAAGAGGGGGAUAGCCUUCCGAAAGGGAGAUUAAUACCGCAUAACAUUAGUUUUUCGCAUGAGGAACUAAUUAAAGGAGUAAUCCGCUUUGAGAUGGACCCGCGGCGCAUUAGCUAGUUGGUGAGGUAAAGGCUCACCAAGGCGACGAUGCGUAGCCGACCUGAGAGGGUGAUCGGCCACAUUGGAACUGAGAUACGGUCCAGACUCCUACGGGAGGCAGCAGUGGGGAAUAUUGCACAAUGGGCGAAAGCCUGAUGCAGCAACGCCGCGUGAGUGAUGAAGGCCUUCGGGUUGUAAAGCUCUGUCUUUGGGGACGAUAAUGACGGUACCCAAGGAGGAAGCCACGGCUAACUACGUGCCAGCAGCCGCGAUAAUACGUAGGUGGCAAGCGUUGUCCGGAUUUACUGGGCGUAAAGGAUGCGUAGGCGGAUAUUUAAGUGAGAUGUGAAAUUCCCGGGCUUAACUUGGGAGCUGCAUUUCAAACUGGAUAUCUAGAGUGUGGGAGAGGAGAAUGGAAUUCCUAGUGUAGCGGUGAAAUGCGUAGAGAUUAGGAAGAACACCAGUGGCGAAGGCGAUUCUCUGGACCAUAACUGACGCUGAGGCAUGAAAGCGUGGGUAGCAAACAGGAUUAGAUACCCUGGUAGUCCACGCCGUAAACGAUGAGUACUAGGUGUAGGGGGGUCCACCCUCUGUGCCGCAGUUAACACAAUAAGUACUCCGCCUGGGAAGUACGAUCGCAAGAUUAAA